RNAcentral lists this ribosomal RNA (460 nucleotides) under uncultured bacterium. Its description in RNAcentral is "partial 16S ribosomal RNA". It matches the Rfam family "Bacterial small subunit ribosomal RNA", at positions 338 to 795 of the family's 1533-position model. The record is from RNAcentral.
CCUACGGGGGGCAGCAGUGAGGAAUAUUGGUCAAUGGACGAGAGUCUGAACCAGCCACGUAGCGUGAAGGAUGACUGCCCUAUGGGUUGUAAACUUCUUUUAUAUGGGAAUAAAAUGUUCCACGUGUGGGAUUUUGUAUGUACCAUAUGAAUAAGGAUCGGCUAACUCCGUGCCAGCAGCCGCGGUAAUACGGAGGAUCCGAGCGUUAUCCGGAUUUAUUGGGUUUAAAGGGAGCGUAGGUGGAUUGUUAAGUCAGUUGUGAAAGUUUGCGGCUCAACCGUAAAAUUGCAGUUGAAACUGGCAGUCUUGAGUACAGUAGAGGUGGGCGGAAUGCGUGGUGUAGCGGUGAAAUGCUUAGAUAUCACGAAGAACUCCGAUUGCGAAGGCAGUUCACUGGACUGCAACUGACACUGAGGCUCGAAAGUGUGGGUAUCAAACAGGAUUAGAUACCCUUGUAGUC